RNAcentral lists this ribosomal RNA (324 nucleotides) under uncultured eukaryote. Its description in RNAcentral is "partial 18S ribosomal RNA". It matches the Rfam family "Eukaryotic small subunit ribosomal RNA", at positions 1470 to 1796 of the family's 1831-position model. The record is from RNAcentral.
CCCUUAGAUGUCCUGGGCUGCACGCGCGCUACACUGAUGUGUCCAGUAAGCACCUAACCUCUUCCGAAAGGAACGGGUAACCUUUGCAAAGCACAUCGUGAUGAGGAUAGAUUAUUGCAAUUAUUAGUCUUGAACGAGGAAUUCCUAGUAAGCACAAGUCAUCAGCUUGUGUUGAUUACGUCCCUGCCCUUUGUACACACCGCCCGUCGCUCCUACCGAUUGAAUGUUCCGGUGAGCUCUUCGGACUGCGCGGUCUGCAGUUUCUGCGUUCCGUGCGGAAAGUUGCGCAAACCUUAACAUUUAGAGGAAGGAGAAGUCGUAACA